Molecule: long non-coding RNA, 375 nt
Organism: Corapipo altera (White-ruffed manakin)
Lineage: Eukaryota; Metazoa; Chordata; Aves; Passeriformes; Pipridae
Exons: 4
Source: RefSeq, a predicted model, not a curated record
GUGAUUAAAAGCGAAGAAAGGGAAAUAAUCCCGUCACAAUAAGACAGCCCAGAGUGGACUCGUCCUCUAAAGUAUCGAUUAGGGAAUGACCGGGCAACCACUGCCCUGGGCGCCAUCUUGUUGGGCAGGCGAGCGUGUUGGAGAGUCCACGCUACAGACAAUCUCUUCCCGGGGGCUGGAGGCACCUUUGGGAGAAGAAAGGCAGAUGAAAAAGAGAACAUGAUCUGAGCACUGAAAAGACGAGAGGCACACAAAAAAUGUGAACUGCUGAAUUUACUGUCUAGCUAUAAUGAGCACAGAGGGAAGAACCUUGGGCUUUGCAAGAGCAUGCACUGGGCACACUGGGAAGAGCCAAGGACAAAUAUAUUGAAUACA